UACUAUUUUACUCUCCUAGCUCAGAUUCCU
RNAcentral lists this non-coding RNA (30 nucleotides) under Macaca fascicularis (crab-eating macaque). RNAcentral also lists the same sequence under 1 other name. Lineage: Eukaryota; Metazoa; Chordata; Mammalia; Primates; Cercopithecidae. The record is from RNAcentral.